Molecule: ribosomal RNA, 426 nt
Filed under: uncultured bacterium
Lineage: Bacteria
Description: bacterial SSU rRNA
Rfam family: Bacterial small subunit ribosomal RNA
Source: RNAcentral
UGGGGAAUUUGGACAAUGGGCGCAAGCCUGAUCCAGCCAUGCCGCGUGCGGGAAGAAGGCCUUCGGGUUGUAAACCGCUUUUGUCAGGGAAGAAAUCCUUUGAGCUAAUACCUCGGGGGGAUGACGGUACCUGAAGAAUAAGCACCGGCUAACUACGUGCCAGCAGCCACGGUAAUACGUAGGGUGCAAGCGUUAAUCGGAAUUACUGGGCGUAAAGCGUGCGCAGGCGGUUAUGCAAGACAGGUGUGAAAUCCCCGGGCUUAACCUGGGAAUUGCAUUUGUGACUGCAUCGCUGGAGUGCGGCAGAGGGGGAUGUAAUUCGGCGUGUAGCAGUGAAAUGCGUAGAUAUGCGGAGGAACACCGAUGGCGAAGGCAAUCCCCUGGGCCUGCACUGACGCUCAUGCACGAAAGCGUGGGGAGCAAACA